UCCUUCCGGAGGCAGCAGUGGGGAAUAUUUCACCAAUCCGGGAAAGGUGAUCCAGCGACGCCAUGUAGGAAGAAGCCUGCCGGUUGUAAAGCUCUUUAAGUGGUAAUGGGGCUUCAUUUAAUUUCACAGUAGUGACGUACCAAUAGAGCCCAGUCCUCC
Molecule: ribosomal RNA, 159 nt
Filed under: uncultured Agrobacterium sp.
Lineage: Bacteria; Pseudomonadati; Pseudomonadota; Alphaproteobacteria; Hyphomicrobiales; Rhizobiaceae
Description: partial 16S ribosomal RNA
Source: RNAcentral